AGCUCCGGUGGCUUAGUGGUAAGAGCGUCCGCCUUUGAUACGGGAGGUCGUGUGUUCAAUCCCCGGCCGAGUCA
Potamilus streckersoni is the source of this 74-nucleotide non-coding RNA. The record is from the annotation of a GenBank genome assembly. NCBI's taxonomy places the organism in Eukaryota, Metazoa, Mollusca, Bivalvia, Unionida, Unionidae.